Carya illinoinensis is the source of this 682-nucleotide long non-coding RNA. RefSeq lists it as uncharacterized. The record is from RefSeq and is a predicted model, not a curated record. Lineage: Eukaryota; Viridiplantae; Streptophyta; Magnoliopsida; Fagales; Juglandaceae. The transcript is spliced from 3 exons.
UUUUUAUACAUCUAGAUCAAGAUUAUUCUUUACGAUUUUUAAUUUUUUUUGUUUUUACUUUCAGGUCUUAACAAAUAUAUUUUUGUUUGAUUUUCUUUGUCGUUUUUUGUUUUUGUUUUUGUCUCUUCUCUUAUCUUGUUCUUAUUAUGUCUUAUUUUGUUGUUUGAUGUUUGGAUUUUUCAGAUCUGUACAACAACUUAUCCCUCACGGCCUCUCUCUGUAUAUUUCGGCAUCUCGUGUGUAUUAAGGCACUGUGUUUGGGUCUUUUUUUUUUUUUUUUUUUCCGAUGGAUAUUUUCUGAUUUUUUGGUUAGAUUUGUUCUUUGUUGGUUCUUUCUCGCAUCGUGGCUAAGAUCCGCUGCCUAUGGCCGCGCGUAGCAGCCCACGACCACUGUGGAAGUUGGAUCUAUUGCUUGUUGCAUCUCCCUUGCAUCACAGUUCACAUCCGCUAUAAAUGGCCACCCGUGGCAGCCCACGACCAUGUCGGAAGCACAUAUGAAGAAAUUAGAAGAUGAAAUUUCAGAAGAUCGAAUUUGUUUGAUGGGUUUUUAUCUUUCAAUUUUUUUUUGCUAUAAUACAUAUGCAUAUCAUGUAAUUACAUAAUGUAACAAAUUCAUUCACACAAUACAAUUAAUUUUUAGAAUACUGAGAAAAACAAUAAAAACGUACUUACAAUUUCUGAA